AUAAACGCUGGCGGCGUGCCUAAAACAUGCAAGUCGAACGGACACUUCGGUGUCAGUGGCGGACGGCUGAGUAACACGUGGGUGACCUGCCCCGGAGCGGGGGAUAACUGCCCGAAAGGGUGGCUAAUACCGCAGACAUCAUGGAUUCGGUUUCAUGAUUGAACCUUUGGGGUUCUGGGAGGGGCCCGCGGUCGAUUAGCUGGUUGGUGGGGUAACGGCCUACCAAGGCUGCGAUCGAUAGCUGGUCUGAGAGGAUGAUCAGCCAGACUGGGACUGCGAACGGCCCAGACUCCUACGGGAGGCAGCAGUUAGGAAUUUUGGGCAAUGGGCGAAAGCCUGACCCAGCAACGCCGCGUGGGUGAUGAAGGCCUUCGGGUCGUAAAGCCCUUUUCCCGGGGAAGAUGAUGACGGUACCCGGGGAAUCAGCCCCGGCUAACUACGUGCCAGCAGCCGCCGUAACAC
Molecule: ribosomal RNA, 462 nt
Filed under: uncultured bacterium
Lineage: Bacteria
Description: bacterial SSU rRNA
Rfam family: Bacterial small subunit ribosomal RNA
Source: RNAcentral